UUGACCUCGGAUCAUGUAGGGAUACCC
This 27-nucleotide ribosomal RNA is filed under the name Thelidium methorium. Its description in RNAcentral is "partial 28S ribosomal RNA". Lineage: Eukaryota; Fungi; Ascomycota; Eurotiomycetes; Verrucariales; Verrucariaceae. The record is from RNAcentral.